This 1728-nucleotide long non-coding RNA is filed under the name Homo sapiens (human). Its description in RNAcentral is "HSALNT0198081". The record is from RNAcentral. Lineage: Eukaryota; Metazoa; Chordata; Mammalia; Primates; Hominidae.
CGAGAUUCGCCGCCCGUCGUAGCGGCCCGCUUCGGCCCCUCGGGGCCCGGGGCUCUCCGGGACCUACACAGCCCGGGAGACUCCGGCGGGGCUGCCUGCCCUCGCCCGAGCCCGGGGGCCCAAGCUGCGGCAGCGGCUCCCAACGCCUCUGCUCGAGGAGAGCGGCGGCCUGGAUGCCCCAGCGCCCUCCCUGUCCAGUUCCUUGAAGGCCCCCAAGAGGGGCGAGGCCGGGGAGGUGCUGGAGCGGGGCCAAGUGAGCUUUCGGGGCCGCGGUUGAACUGGAGUCUUGAGUGCGCUGCGGUCAGUGGAGGCCCUUCCACCCUCGCCGCGCCCCGUGGGGAAUAGUCCCCCACCUCCCGCCAUGGCUGCAGCAGGAGGAGACGACGUCCUCCAUUUUGUCGGGACAACUGUGGGAACUUGGGACCCCUCAAAACCAAACCCCGUGGGGCCAGGACUUGUCCCGGAAGCCCCGACUGGGCUCUGCCAUUCGGACAAGGGAACAGCCCCAGCUGCCGGCGUCUGCGUCCGCGGGGCAGUACUGGUCGGGCGCGACGGUGGAGACACCCAGACGCAGCUCCCCGCCUCCAUCAACCAAGAUGGAGGGAGCUGCAGGCUCCCUUGGAGCUGGGCUCUCGCGGGUUGGAGGGGCUGAGGCCUGCCCUGGGGCGUCCCUGGGCGCCGCCGUCCUGUGCUAGCAGCCCGGGGCGCUGGCCCUGCCUAGGCCUUUUUACUGCCUGCCACCGUCUCCUGGUCCGGAAUGGUUGAUGGAGACUCCAUGGAGGCUCCCUCCACAGCCCGCUCUAUCGCGGGGCGCACCCGCUGCGGCCCCUGCGGGGAGCAGAAUCAGGGACAGAUGGCGCCCGGUGAGGGCGGGCCCCACAGGCCACCUCCACGAGGGGUCUUCUCUUUUGUUCCUCGUCUACACCUACGUCUUCGGCGGAUGUCAUGGUGCUGAACCAUUUCCCGGACUCCACGUAAAGAUGGAAGCGAUUCCGCUUUCGUCUCGCCCUGGCGGUUCUUAGUGGGAUUACAAUUGAGGAUGUUAGUUUGGAUGAAAGUUGGUGAAAUACUUACCUUAUGUCUGGAAAUACAGAUAAUGUGAUUUUUAAAAAACACAUUGAGCCCCGUUUUACUUCUGUGGUAUGGUAAAGGCACAGGUUUAUUCAAUGAAAAUCAGACGUUAACCAUCUAAUGCAGGGGUGGCCAAUCUUUUGGCUUCCCGGGGCCACAUUGGAAGAAUUGGCUUGGGCCACACAUAAAAUACGCUAACAGUAACAAUAGCUGAUGAGCUAAAACAAACGAAAAAACCAAAACGCCAAAAAAAUCUCAUAACGUUUUAAGAAAAUUUACAAAUAUGUGUUGGGCUGCAUUCAAAGCCGUCCUGGGCCGCAUGCAACCCCCAAGGGCUGCAGGUUGGACAAGCUUGAUCUAAGACAAAAGCAUGUUCACGGAUUGAUGAGAGUUCUGUGUAAGCCUUUGCAUAUUGCAUAGUGCUGUAUGUCAUGGAUAUGCCUAAUAUCACCUACAUUUUUUAGGUCCUCAGUUACUCUUUGGAAAUAAGUGAAUUACAUGUAAUGUCAUCAUUUUAAUGACUGCUGUAAAUUACAAGCACUGACUACCCUGAGUUCGUGGAGAAGGGCUCCAUAGAGAAAAUUUGAAGGUCUGACAGAAACUUUAAAUGAAUGAAGCACAUCUUUGACGCGAAAACUUCGGGAUAUCUGACAGAGA